GAUGAACGCUGGCGGCGUGCCUAAUACAUGCAAGUCGAGCGAACAGACGAGGAGCUUGCUCCUCUGACGUUAGCGGCGGACGGGUGAGUAACACGUGGAUAACCUACCUAUAAGACUGGGAUAACUUCGGGAAACCGGAGCUAAUACCGGAUAAUAUAUUGAACCGCAUGGUUCAAUAGUGAAAGACGGUUUUGCUGUCACUUAUAGAUGGAUCCGCGCCGCAUUAGCUAGUUGGUAAGGUAACGGCUUACCAAGGCAACGAUGCGUAGCCGACCUGAGAGGGUGGUCGGCCACACUGGAACUGAGACACGGUCCAGACUCCUACGGGAGGCAGCAGUAGGGAAUCUUCCGCAAUGGGCGAAAGCUUGACGGAGCAACGCCGCGUGAGUGAUGAAGGUCUUCGGAUCGUAAAACUCUGUUAUUAGGGAAGAACAAAUGUGUAAGUAACUAUGCACGUCUUGACGGUACCUAAUCAGAAAGCCACGGCUAACUACGUG
RNAcentral lists this ribosomal RNA (497 nucleotides) under uncultured bacterium. RNAcentral describes it as "partial 16S ribosomal RNA". It matches the Rfam family "Bacterial small subunit ribosomal RNA", at positions 28 to 507 of the family's 1533-position model. The record is from RNAcentral.